CCUACGGGAGGCAGCAGUGAGGAAUAUUGGUCAAUGGACGGAAGUCUGAACCAGCCAUGCCGCGUGCAGGAAGACGGCUCUAUGAGUUGUAAACUGCUUUUGUACAAGGGUAAACCUGAAUACGUGUAUUCAGCUGAAAGUACUGUACGAAUAAGGAUCGGCUAACUCCGUGCCAGCAGCCGCGGUAAUACGGGGGAUCCAAGCGUUAUCCGGAUUUAUUGGGUUUAAAGGGUGCGUAGGUGGAUUGAUAAGUUAGAGGUGAAAUGUCCGAGCUUAACUCGGGAACUGCCUCUAAUACGGUGGAGCUAGAGGGUUGAUGAGGUAGGCGGAAUGUAUGGUGUAGCGGUGAAAUGCUUAGAGAUC
This 363-nucleotide ribosomal RNA is filed under the name uncultured bacterium. Its description in RNAcentral is "partial 16S ribosomal RNA". It matches the Rfam family "Bacterial small subunit ribosomal RNA", at positions 338 to 698 of the family's 1533-position model. The record is from RNAcentral.